AAAGUUUUAGUACCCAUGGAGGUACAAUAAAGUUAAAUUUUUUUUAUCAGUUUAAUAUCUGAUACGUCCCCUAUCUGGGGACCAUAUAUUAAAUGGAUUUUUUCGAACAGGGAGAUGGAAAAAGAGCUUGCUCUGUCCACUCCACGCAUUGACCUGGUAUUGCAGUACCUCCAGGACCGGUGCACCCUUU
Small nuclear RNA from Bufo gargarizans (Asiatic toad), 190 nucleotides. RefSeq annotates it as U2 spliceosomal RNA. NCBI's taxonomy places the organism in Eukaryota, Metazoa, Chordata, Amphibia, Anura, Bufonidae. The record is from RefSeq and is a predicted model, not a curated record. The transcript has a single exon.